This 253-nucleotide ribosomal RNA is filed under the name uncultured bacterium. RNAcentral's name for it is "partial 16S ribosomal RNA". It matches the Rfam family "Bacterial small subunit ribosomal RNA", at positions 524 to 776 of the family's 1533-position model. The record is from RNAcentral.
UACGUAGGGUGCGAGCGUUAAUCGGAAUUACUGGGCGUAAAGUGUGCGCAGGCGGCCGAGCAAGUCGAGUGUGAAAGCCCCGAGCUUAACUUGGGAACUGCGCUCGAAACUACUUGGCUAGAGUGUGGCAGAGGGAGGUGGAAUUCCACGUGUAGCGGUGAAAUGCGUAGAGAUGUGGAGGAACACCGAUGGCGAAGGCAGCCUCCUGGGCCAACACUGACGCUCAUGCACGAAAGCGUGGGUAGCAAACAGG